GACGAACGCUGGCGGCGUGCUUAACACAUGCAAGUCGAACGGAAAGGCCCUGCUUUUGUUGGUUGCUCGAUUGGCGAACGGGUGAGUAACACGUGAGUAACCUGCCCUUGACUUUGGGAUAACUUCAGGAAACUGGGGCGAAUACCGGAUAGGAGCUCCUGCUGCAUGUGGGGGGUUGGAAAGUUUCGGCGGUUGGGUAUGGACUCGCGGCUUAUCAGCUUGUUGGUGGGGUAGUGGCUUACCAAGGCUUUGACGGGUAGCCGGCCUGAGAGGGUGACCGGCCACAUUGGGACUGAGAUACGGCCCAGACUCCUACGGGAGGCAGCAGUCGGGAAUAUUGCACAAUGGGCGGAAGCCUGAUGCAGCAACGCCGCGUGCGGGAUGACGGCCUUCGGGUUGUAAACCGCUUUCGCCUGUGACGAAGCGUGAGUGACGGUAAUGGGUAAAGAAGCACCGGCUAACUACGUG
RNAcentral lists this ribosomal RNA (468 nucleotides) under uncultured bacterium. RNAcentral's name for it is "partial 16S ribosomal RNA". It matches the Rfam family "Bacterial small subunit ribosomal RNA", at positions 28 to 507 of the family's 1533-position model. The record is from RNAcentral.